CCUGCGAAUUAACGACUCUAGUGCAGAAGGCCGUUGAAGAUCAUUGUCAGUUUUUAGCACUGCAAGCACUCUUCUCCUGAAGUUUCCGAGGAUGCACUCUCUCAUGUACUCCCUCAGAACAAAUACAUGGUUUAGAACACAUAUCGGCUCCAUGUCAUUCAAAACUGAACAUAAGUUUGUCAACCUUUGCAUUGCAGCUUCUAACAUUUUUAUAGAGCUAUUAUUCUCAGGAUAGCUCUCGUGACCAGGCAGAGGAAAUCCAACUGCUCCUUUAGGAGAUUUUGCUGAAGGAAUUGAAACUCUAGAUGCAUUAUUCAAAUAAAAAGCUGCCUGCUCCGGAAGAAGCUGAGUCUCUAAGGCGCCAAACCCUCCUUCAGAAUCAAGAAUAUUGAUCAAGCCCUCCAAUCCUCCCAUGAUAGAUUCAAUAAGAGAUUCAACAUAUAGGACUGCAUCUCG
RNAcentral lists this unclassified non-coding RNA (456 nucleotides) under Hevea brasiliensis (rubber tree). Lineage: Eukaryota; Viridiplantae; Streptophyta; Magnoliopsida; Malpighiales; Euphorbiaceae. The record is from RNAcentral.